UAGGGAAUCUUCGGCAAUGGACGAAAGUCUGACCGAGCAACGCCGCGUGAGUGAAGAAGGUUUUCGGAUCGUAAAACUCUGUUGGUAGAGAAGAACGUUGGUGAGAGUGGAAAGCUCAUCAAGUGACGGUAACUACCCAGAAAGGGACGGCUAACUACGUGCCAGCAGCCGCGGUAAUACGUAGGUCCCGAGCGUUGUCCGGAAUUAUUGGGCGUAAAGCGAGCGCAGGUGAUUUAUUAAGUCUGGUGUAAAAGGCAGUGGCUCAACCAUUGUAUGCAUUGGAAACUGGUAGACUUGAGUGCAGGAGAGGAGAGUGGAAUUCCAUGUGUAGCGGUGAAAUGCGUAGAUAUAUGGAGGAACACCGGUGGCGAAAGCGGCUCUCUGGCCUGUAACUGACACUGAGGCUCGAAAGCGUGGGGAGCAAACAGG
RNAcentral lists this ribosomal RNA (429 nucleotides) under bacterium. RNAcentral describes it as "partial 16S ribosomal RNA". It matches the Rfam family "Bacterial small subunit ribosomal RNA", at positions 355 to 776 of the family's 1533-position model. The record is from RNAcentral.